CCUCCCCUUUGAAAAAAGAAGAGUAACAGUAACAAGUGAAUAUUAAGUAGAUUGGAUCAUGAGCAUUACUAUAUAUAUGUAAGGAGCGGAUUUGGUUGUAUGUUCAUGUGGUUGUGUUUUGAGGAAAGAAACAAAGAAAAGAGAGAAAGAAAGAAAGAAAGAUGGACGCUCCAGGACAGCAGGAGAUGAGUUAUUAUGAACAUGUUCAGAAACGCCAUGAAGAGAAGGGCUGUCUCUAUGCCUGUUUGUUCACCUUGUGUUGCUGUUUCUGCUGCUAUGAGACCUGCGAGUGCUGCUUCGAUAUUCUCUGCUGCUGCUGCCCUUAGUUAAUCUUCAUCGUCUUCUCCUGUGCUUCUGCUCUCUCUCUCUCUCUCUGUGACCUUUAAUUAUGUUGUCUGAAGAUCUUCGUCUUCGUCUUCUCCUCCUCCUCUUCUGUGUCUUCCAUAAACCUCUUGAUGAAUAAAAUGGAAUUGCCUCCUUAUUUAUAAUUCAAGCUUUCUAAUUCGCUUCUCUCUUUCUCAUCAAGCAUCAUGCCAGGCCAUAUGUUAUGAGUUGCACGGGAAAUCUCAUAAAUAUUGUGGAAUUUAUAAGUUCAAUAAGUUCUCCUCCUAAUAGGCUAGUCUUUUAGGAUUUGACUCUCCUUUUGUAUUCUAAAUCGUGUUACGAUAAUAUCAACUUAGAAUUGGAUGUCCA
Long non-coding RNA from Neltuma alba, 693 nucleotides. RefSeq lists it as uncharacterized. The transcript has 2 exons. Lineage: Eukaryota; Viridiplantae; Streptophyta; Magnoliopsida; Fabales; Fabaceae. The record is from RefSeq and is a predicted model, not a curated record.